CCCGCUCAGAAACUUAAAUGAAUUGACGGGGGCCCGCACAAGCGGUGGAGCAUGUGGUUAAUUCGAAGCAACGCGAAGAACCUUACCAGGCCUUGACAUGCAGAGAACUUUCCAGAGAUGGAUUGGUGCCUUCGGGAACUCUGACACAGGUGCUGCAUGGCUGUCGUCAGCUCGUGUCGUGAGAUGUUGGGUUAAGUCCCGCAACGAGCGCAACCCUUGCCUUUAGUUGCCAGCAGUUCGGCUGGGCACUCUAAAGGGACUGCCGGUGUUAAACCGGAGGAAGGUGGGGAUGACGUCAAGUCCUCAUGGCCUUUAUGACCAGGGCUACACACGUACUACAAUGGCCGAUACAAAGGGCAGCGACACUGCGAGGUGAAGCCAAUCCCGUAAAAUCGGUCUCAGUCCGGAUUGGAGUCUGCAACUCGACUCCAUGAAGUUGGAAUCGCUAGUAAUCGUGGAUCAGCAUGCCACGGUGAAUACGUUCCCGGGCCUU
RNAcentral lists this ribosomal RNA (493 nucleotides) under uncultured Desulfobulbus sp. RNAcentral's name for it is "bacterial SSU rRNA". It matches the Rfam family "Bacterial small subunit ribosomal RNA", at positions 888 to 1382 of the family's 1533-position model. Lineage: Bacteria; Pseudomonadati; Thermodesulfobacteriota; Desulfobulbia; Desulfobulbales; Desulfobulbaceae. The record is from RNAcentral.